UAAUUAAUUAUUGAUUUCUUAGUGCUCUCAUUUUUAUUCUGAUUGCUUAGUUGACUGACCUAUGUCACUAACUUGAAAGGAAGAAUAUGUGCUUAUGUUGGGAAAAUAAAAACUUUGGUUGAUAAAUCUCUUAUGCAAUUCAACUAGCCAUAUGUUUCUGGCUAAUGGCUUAGUAUGAAAAACUAGGACUUGGGAGCAAAAAAUCAGUUGCCUAUAAGUUGUCUGUGAUGACUGAUAUAGUUUAGGCUUAAAAUGUGAGGUUGCAGAGAAAUUUUCUUACACUUUCCUCCCAUUCUUUUUUCACUUUAUUUUUUCACUAUCAUCUGCUGAAUUAUGUGUGAAUGUGCAUUGUGUACGCAUUACGUGGAAAAAGAAAUUGUUGAUAAUCUAUCGAGUCUAUCAUACUCAAGUACACCUUAUGAAGUUUCUUAUGUUUUCAUGCCAUUCUUCGCAAUCCCGACUCAAUUUGUGUUUUACAAAAAUCAAUGCAUGUCCUAUACCUAAAACGUGAAGAUUUGCUCUUUUAUUAUAUGUUCUUGUCACAUAUUGACCAUCUAAGAGAAAAUGUUCAACAUUUCAUGUAUAUGGCUUUU
Molecule: long non-coding RNA, 593 nt
Filed under: Eucalyptus grandis
Lineage: Eukaryota; Viridiplantae; Streptophyta; Magnoliopsida; Myrtales; Myrtaceae
Description: long non-coding RNA (EGRA_LNC005736)
Source: RNAcentral